GUGGCUCAAUGGUAGAGCGCUUGCCUUGCUUGCAUGAGGCCCUGGGUUCGAUUCCUCGGCAACACA
This 66-nucleotide transfer RNA is filed under the name Dipodomys ordii (Ord's kangaroo rat). It matches the Rfam family "tRNA". From Rfam's summary of the family: Transfer RNA (tRNA) molecules are approximately 80 nucleotides in length. Their secondary structure includes four short double-helical elements and three loops (D, anti-codon, and T loops). The record is from Rfam by way of RNAcentral. Lineage: Eukaryota; Metazoa; Chordata; Mammalia; Rodentia; Heteromyidae.